CUACGGGAGGCAGCAGUGGGGAAUAUUGGACAAUGGGCGCAAGCCUGAUCCAGCCAUGCCGCGUGAGUGAUGAAGGCCCUAGGGUUGUAAAGCUCUUUCACCGGUGAAGAUAAUGACGGUAACCGGAGAAGAAGCCCCGGCUAACUUCGUGCCAGCAGCCGCGGUAAUACGAAGGGGGCUAGCGUUGUUCGGAAUUACUGGGCGUAAAGCGCACGUAGGCGGAUCGGUCAGUUAGGGGUGAAAUCCCGGGGCUCAACCCCGGAACUGCCUCUAAUACUGCCGAUCUAGAGUUCGAGAGAGGUGAGUGGAAUUCCGAGUGUAGAGGUGAAAUUCGUAGAUAUUCGGAGGAACACCAGUGGCGAAGGCGGCUCACUGGCUCGAUACUGACGCUGAGGUGCGAAAGCGUGGGGAGCAAACAGGAUUAGAUACCCCAGUAGUCC
RNAcentral lists this ribosomal RNA (440 nucleotides) under uncultured bacterium. Its description in RNAcentral is "bacterial SSU rRNA". It matches the Rfam family "Bacterial small subunit ribosomal RNA", at positions 339 to 796 of the family's 1533-position model. The record is from RNAcentral.